CCUACGGGGGGCUGCAGGGGGGAAUAUUGGACAAUGGGGGCAACCCUGAUCCAGCCAUGCCGCGUGUGUGAAGAAGGCCCUCGGGUUGUAAAGCACUUUCAGUGAGGAAGAACGCCUGGUGGUUAAUACCCAUCAGGAAAGACAUCACUCACAGAAGAAGCACCGGCUAACUCCGUGCCAGCAGCCGCGGUAAUACGGAGGGUGCGAGCGUUAAUCGGAAUUACUGGGCGUAAAGCGCGCGUAGGUGGCUUGAUAAGCCGGUUGUGAAAGCCCCGGGCUCAACCUGGGAACGGCAUCCGGAACUGUCAAGCUAGAGUGCAGGAGAGGAAGGUAGAAUUCCCGGUGUAGCGGUGAAAUGCGUAGAGAUCGGGAGGAAUCCCAGUGGCGAAGGCGGCCUUCUGGACUGACACUGACACUGAGGUGCGAAAGCGUGGGUAGCAAACAGGAUUAGAUACCCCAGUAGUC
Molecule: ribosomal RNA, 465 nt
Filed under: Vreelandella stevensii
Lineage: Bacteria; Pseudomonadati; Pseudomonadota; Gammaproteobacteria; Oceanospirillales; Halomonadaceae
Description: partial 16S ribosomal RNA
Rfam family: Bacterial small subunit ribosomal RNA
Source: RNAcentral